This 557-nucleotide ribosomal RNA is filed under the name uncultured bacterium. RNAcentral describes it as "bacterial SSU rRNA". It matches the Rfam family "Bacterial small subunit ribosomal RNA", at positions 14 to 562 of the family's 1533-position model. The record is from RNAcentral.
UGAUCCUGGCUCAGAUUGAACGCUGGCGGCAGGCCUAACACAUGCAAGUCGAGCGGUAACAGGGGAAGCUUGCUUCUCGCUGACGAGCGGCGGACGGGUGAGUGAUGUAUGGGGAUCUGCCCGAUAGAGGGGGAUAACCACUGGAAACGGUGGCUAAUACCGCAUAAUCUCUUAGGAGCAAAGCAGGGGAACUUCGGUCCUUGCGCUAUCGGAUGAACCCAUAUGGGAUUAGCUAGUAGGUGGGGUAAUGGCUCACCUAGGCGACGAUCCCUAGCUGGUCUGAGAGGAUGAUCAGCCACACUGGGACUGAGACAAGGCCCAGACUCCUACGGGAGGCAGCAGUGGGGAAUAUUGCACAAUGGGCGCAAGCCUGAUGCAGCCAUGCCGCGUGUAUGAAGAAGGCCCUAGGGUUGUAAAGUACUUUCAGUCGGGAGGAAGGCGUUGAUGCUAAUAUCAUCAACGAUUGACGUUACCGACAGAAGAAGCACCGGCUAACUCCGUGCCAGCAGCCGCGGUAAUACGGAGGGUGCAAGCGUUAAUCGGAAUUACUGGGCGUA